CUGGUGAGUAACACGUGGGAAACCUGCCCAGAAGCGGGGGAUAACACCUGGAAACAGAUGCUAAUACCGCAUAACAACUUGGACCGCAUGGUCCGAGUUUGAAAGAUGGCUUCGGCUAUCACUUUUGGAUGGUCCCGCGGCGUAUUAGCUAGAUGGUGGGGUAACGGCUCACCAUGGCAAUGAUACGUAGCCGACCUGAGAGGGUAAUCGGCCACAUUGGGACUGAGACACGGCCCAAACUCCUACGGGAGGCAGCAGUAGGGAAUCUUCCACAAUGGACGAAAGUCUGAUGGAGCAACGCCGCGUGAGUGAAGAAGGGUUUCGGCUCGUAAAACUCUGUUGUUAAAGAAGAACAUAUCUGAGAGUAACUGUUCAGGUAUUGACGGUAUUUAACCAGAAAGCCACGGCUAACUACGUGCCAGCAGCCGCGGUAAUACGUAGGUGGCAAGCGUUGUCCGGAUUUAUUGGGCGUAAAGCGAGCGCAGGCGGUUUUUUAAGUCUGAUGUGAAAGCCUUCGGCUCAACCGAAGAAGUGCAUCGGAAACUGGGAAACUUGAGUGCAGAAGAGGACAGUGGAACUCCAUGUGUAGCGGUGAAAUGCGUAGAUAUAUGGAAGAACACCAGUGGCGAAGGCGGCUGUCUGGUCUGUAACUGACGCUGAGGCUCGAAAGUAUGGGUAGCAAACAGGAUUAGAUACCCUGGUAGUCCAUACCGUAAACGAUGAAUGCUAAGUGUUGGAGGGUUUCCGCCCUUCAGUGCUGCAGCUAACGCAUUAAGCAUUCCGCCUGGGGAGUACGGCCGCAAGGCUGAAACUCAAAGGAAUUGACGGGGGCCCGCACAAGCGGUGGAGCAUGUGGUUUAAUUCGAAGCUACGCGAAGAACCUUACCAGGUCUUGACAUACUAUGCAAAUCUAAGAGAUUAGACGUUCCCUUCGGGGACAUGGAUACAGGUGGUGCAUGGUUGUCGUCAGCUCGUGUCGUGAGAUGUUGGGUUAAGUCCCGCAACGAGCGCAACCCUUAUUAUCAGUUGCCAGCAUUAAGUUGGGCACUCUGGUGAGACUGCCGGUGACAAACCGGAGGAAGGUGGGGAUGACGUCAAAUCAUCAUGCCCCUUAUGACCUGGGCUACACACGUGCUACAAUGGAUGGUACAACGAGUUGCGAACUCGCGAGAGUAAGCUAAUCUCUUAAAGCCAUUCUCAGUUCGGAUUGUAGGCUGCAACUCGCCUACAUGAAGUCGGAAUCGCUAGUAAUCGCGGAUCAGCAUGCCGCGGUGAAUACGUUCCCGGGCCUUGUACACACCGCCCGUCACACCAUGAGAGUUUGUAACACCCAAAGUCGGUGGGGUAACCUUUU
This 1354-nucleotide ribosomal RNA is filed under the name Lactiplantibacillus plantarum. RNAcentral describes it as "bacterial SSU rRNA". It matches the Rfam family "Bacterial small subunit ribosomal RNA", at positions 103 to 1444 of the family's 1533-position model. The record is from RNAcentral. Lineage: Bacteria; Bacillati; Bacillota; Bacilli; Lactobacillales; Lactobacillaceae.